Molecule: ribosomal RNA, 445 nt
Filed under: uncultured bacterium
Lineage: Bacteria
Description: bacterial SSU rRNA
Rfam family: Bacterial small subunit ribosomal RNA
Source: RNAcentral
GAACGAGAAAGCGGGGGCAACUCCGUGAGUAAAGUGGCGUACGGGUGAGUAACACGUAGCUAACCUACCCUUGAGUGAGGAAUAACCUGGGGAAACUCGGGCUAAUACCCCAUAACAUCCCGAGCAAUCGGGAGCAAAGGCUCGCAAGGGCCGCUUGAGGAGGGGGCUGCGGCCGAUUAGCUAGUUGGUGAGGUAACGGCCCACCAAGGCGAUGAUCGGUAGCCGGCCUGAGAGGGCGCACGGCCACACUGGCACUGAAACACGGGCCAGACUCCUACGGGAGGCAGCAGUGGGGAAUUUUGCACAAUGCCCGAAAGGGUGAUGCAGCAACGCCGCGUGAGGGAUGAAGGUCUUCGGAUCGUAAACCUCUUUCGACCGGGAAAAAUGGGCGGGUGUAGAGCCCGUUCUGAUGGUACCGGUGGAAGAAGCCCCGGCUAACUACGUG